UACGUAGGUGGCAAGCGUUGUCCGGAAUUACUGGGCGUAAAGGGCGUGUAGGCGGAUACUUAAGUCAGGUGUGAAAUCUUUGGGCUCAACCCAGAGUUUGCAUUUGAAACUGGGUAUCUUGAGUGCAGGAGAGGAUAGUGGAAUUCCUAGUGUAGCGGUGAAAUGCGUAGAUAUUCGGAAGAACACCAGUGGCGAAGGCGACGCACUGGCUCAUUACUGACGCUGAGGCUCGAAAGCGUGGGGAGCAAACAGGAUUAGAUA
RNAcentral lists this ribosomal RNA (261 nucleotides) under uncultured prokaryote. RNAcentral's name for it is "partial 16S ribosomal RNA". It matches the Rfam family "Bacterial small subunit ribosomal RNA", at positions 524 to 784 of the family's 1533-position model. The record is from RNAcentral.